UAAUUUUCGGAUCAUAGAUUGGAGGCCGUUCGGGUGGUCGCGCAAGAGAUCGGGCCAAACCGAGUGCCGGGUGCCGCGGGCGGCCGAUUGCAAAUGUCGACAAGCAAUCGGAAUGCGAAAUGAGGUGGGUUGUGCUUACCGAAGCGACUAGGUCGCCCUUUAUGUCUAAGAAAUGAGAUUUCAUAUUGAUACAUAUUGACAUAAUAUAAGAAUAUGAAAGGAAUGCAUGUUAACAUACUAUAGAAUAUGCUAAAUGUAAUGCAUAAUGAAUUAAGUGCUAAAAGAAUGCAUGAGAUGCUAAGUAUGGACUAUUUUGGAUAAUGACUAUAUGUAUGUUGACAAAUCAUGUGAUGCUAGUGGUAUAUGUGCAUGAUGAUAUAUUAUGAAUUUACAUAUUGUGGAUUAUGUUAAAUAGAAAAACAUACUUGAUGACAUAUUGCUAUGUUGUGGAACAUAGCGGACAAUCUAUAUAUAUAUUAGAUCGAGUGGCAUUAAACCUAGCAUCUUGAACCUAGCAAACACUUGUGGUGAUUGAUCAUGUAUAUUCUGGUGUCAUUCAUGUAUGUUAGGACCCUAUUAUUGUGUAAAUGUGAGAGUUGGACUUGAACAUUAGUAAACAAGGGUGACAGUGACAAUAGAGACAUGAUUGGCAUCAAGAAAGUGAUUGUUAAACAUAGUUUAACCAUAUUGACAUUGGUCCAAGUUGACAUAGAGAGUGGCAUGAUUAAAUAGGUAGAGACCUAUCAUGACAUUGGCAUUGUGACGAGUGGCUAUGAAUCCUCAAGUUGAGGAUUGGAUCGAUACUCACGUUACGUCUUGGCUUGAGGGAGGUAGCUCCCCCUCGGGCGGUGCGCUCCGGAGUUGGUCACCACUGGGCG
This 878-nucleotide long non-coding RNA is filed under the name Ananas comosus (pineapple). Its description in RNAcentral is "long non-coding RNA (ACOM_LNC029122)". Lineage: Eukaryota; Viridiplantae; Streptophyta; Magnoliopsida; Poales; Bromeliaceae. The record is from RNAcentral.